AGCGAACGCUGGCGGCAGGCUUAACACAUGCAAGUCGAACGGGCAUCUUCGGAUGUCAGUGGCAGACGGGUGAGGAACACGUGGGAACAUGCCCUUCGGUUCGGAAUAACUCAGGGAAACUUGAGCUAAUACCGGAUGAUGUCUUCGGACCAAAGAUUUAUCGGCAAAGGAUGAGCCCGCGUAGGAUUAGGUAGUUGGUGGGGUAAAGGCCUACCAAGCCGACGAUCCUUAGCUGGUCUGAGAGGAUGAUCAGCCACACUGGGACUGAGACACGGUCCAGACUCCUACGGGAGGCAGCAGUGGGGAAUUUUGGACAAUGGGCACAAGCCUGAUCCAGCAAUGCCGCGUGCAGGAAGAAGGCCUUCGGGUUGUAAACUGCUUUUGUACGGAACGAAAAGGACUCUGGUUAAUACCUGGGGCUCAUGACGGUACCGUAAGAAUAAGCACCGGCUAACUACGUG
RNAcentral lists this ribosomal RNA (461 nucleotides) under uncultured bacterium. RNAcentral describes it as "bacterial SSU rRNA". It matches the Rfam family "Bacterial small subunit ribosomal RNA", at positions 29 to 507 of the family's 1533-position model. The record is from RNAcentral.